RNAcentral lists this unclassified non-coding RNA (245 nucleotides) under Glomerales sp. Its description in RNAcentral is "partial contains 5.8S ribosomal RNA and internal transcribed spacer 2". The stretch from base 1 to 71 matches the Rfam family "5.8S ribosomal RNA", at positions 84 to 154 of the family's 154-position model. Lineage: Eukaryota; Fungi; Glomeromycota; Glomeromycetes; Glomerales; Glomeraceae. The record is from RNAcentral.
GUGAAUCAUCAAAUCUUUGAACGCAAAUUGCGCUUACUGGCAUUCCGGGGAGUAUGCCUGUUUGAGGGUCAGUAUUAACAAAAAAUCGGUUUGGUUGCAAAUUGUGACGGUUCCGGGGUUUGGGUUAUCUUAACUUUUUUGGUUAAGUGGCUUUAAAUUGACCUUUUUUGCGAUUUUUUAGCCGAUCAUAAAUUUUUUUUUUUUUUCGUCUAUUCUUAUUGCAAAGCAAUUAUUAGAUACAAGCA